AGUGAACGCUGGCGGUAGGCCUAACACAUGCAAGUCGAACGGCAGCACAGUAAGAGCUUGCUCUUACGGGUGGCGAGUGGCGGACGGGUGCGGAAUACAUCGGAAUCUACUUUUUCGUGGGGGGUAACGUAGGGAAACUUACGCUAAUACCGCAUACGACCUACGGGUGAAAGCAGGGGAUCUUCGGACCUUGCGUGAUUGAAUGAGCCGAUGUCGGAUUAGCUAGUUGGCGGGGUAAAGGCCCACCAAGGCGACGGUCCGUAGCUGGUCUGAGAGGAGGAUCAGCCACACUGGAACUGAGACACGGUCCAGACUCCUACGGGAGGCAGCAGUGGGGAAUAUUGGACAAUGGGCGCAAGCCUGAUCCAGCCAUACCGCGUGGGUGAAGAAGGCCUUCGGGUUGUAAAGCCCUUUUGUUGGGAAAGAAAAGCAGCAGGUUAAUACCCCGCUGUUCUGACGGUACCCAAAGAAUAAGCACCGGCUAACUUCGUG
This 492-nucleotide ribosomal RNA is filed under the name uncultured bacterium. RNAcentral's name for it is "partial 16S ribosomal RNA". It matches the Rfam family "Bacterial small subunit ribosomal RNA", at positions 29 to 507 of the family's 1533-position model. The record is from RNAcentral.